AUGGAUCUAAGUGACAACCAGAUUCAGAUCCUCGAGAGUGUUUUCAUUGAGUGCCCCAACCCCGAUGAGGCCCAGCGCGCUCAUCACAGUCGCGAGCUUCGCGUGGAGCCCCAGCAUAUCAAAAUCUGGUUCAAGAACCGUCGUGCCCAGAUGAGGAGGGCUAGGCACGAGCAGGUGGACAACCACUUAUCCGGCUCGGAGAACGACGAGAUCGACUUGAAGAGUGACGAGAUCCACUAA
RNAcentral lists this ribosomal RNA (240 nucleotides) under Triticum aestivum (bread wheat). RNAcentral's name for it is "partial small subunit ribosomal RNA". Lineage: Eukaryota; Viridiplantae; Streptophyta; Magnoliopsida; Poales; Poaceae. The record is from RNAcentral.